GACACAUCUUCGGGCAUUUCAGAAUGCACAAAAACAGUAAAUAGGUAGCAAUGAAAAACUUAAGACUCAUACCGCAAGCUGCCACUCUACUUAGUUUUUGUUGUCUCUCUUAUUCAUUUCCCCUCUUUAAUCUCCCCUCUGUCACAAUGACAGAGUGGGCGUGUGUGACAGUGCUGUGAUGUCCAGCCCCCCAUUGUAUUGAAUCAAGACGUGCUACUUACACAGGAAGUGGUGAAGACACAAAUAAUACAGGCCCAGGUGUGAUGGCUGCCAUGGUGGUCAAAGCGGCACUGUCAGAUGGAUAGCACAAAGCACAGAUCUGUUCGACUAUAUUCUCAUAACCCAUCAUGCCAUUUUGGACCCGUUCAUGAGCAGGAUUAAUUUUCACAUUUCAAGUAUCUCAUUAAACACGAUUUUCAGGCCCAUGUUGGCCGAUCGUGUGCUCUACAAGUCCAAAUUCAGAGUCGCACACCUUGAAACAUGCCGGGAAACACCGAGAACUACUGAAAGUGAUGCAGGUACCCAAUUUAGCUCCAGUAAUCGCACAAGGCACUUAUCCCAAAUGUUUCAGAAACCGGAAUUUUGACCUGAACCCGUGUAUUGACUGCAUGUAAACAUGGUCAUAGAUAAUUCUACUUGUGGACAGCAUUGAGUCUGUAUGUAAAUGAGGCAGCCAAAGCAAUGGGGCGCUCUUUCAAAUGCAGGUGCUUUUGUCACAGUGCCACCACUGAAAGUCUUCAAAAUGUUUAUGUGUGUCUGUAGAUAUGUAUUUGAUUUUGCAUGUGUGUAUACGUAUAUUUGUGUGUGUUUAUAACUAUUAUAUGUAUGUGCUCGUGUUUGCGUACAAGCAAGCAAGCAGAGCGUGUGUAUGUGUGUGUGUGUGUGUGUGUUUGGCGAAGAGGGAUACUGAAUAGAAGCAUUUCACACAUUUCCACACAUGUUCUGAAUGCGCACUCAUGAAUGUUUCCGAAAAACAUUAAACACUGUCCAACUGAGGCUUUUGUGCUUCAACGACACAUCUGUGCAGAUGUUUUUGUACACCCCACAACGAAGUCGACGUGCGUGAACGCGACGAUAUGAGCAUGCGCUACCUCCUUUGUCAUCGCUGUCACCAACAAUCCUCGUAAUAUUUAUUAUUUUUUUACUCUGUGCUGUGAAUUAGGUGACACUUAACGACCAGGAUACGCGCUUCAGGAAGGAUGGAUCGUAGAAUCUUUAAAAAGCGGUAGCGAGGAGCGUACGUUUGAAAAGGGUCCGUUCAGUCGGAAAAAUAGCGUGUUAAAAUGAUCUUCGUUUGUCGAUACUAUUGACUUACCUUGGCGUUGCGCUCAAUCUGUCUGUGUUCGUGGGGGAACCGUCGUCCACGCAGCAUCUUGCUGCAUUGUCGCCGGCAAGGGCACACUGCCAUGAUAUCGCCUCCACGCGAGGCAGAUGAGCAGAACAAAACCAUCCACGGAGAGACAAAGUGGGAAUAAAUUACCAUUCAUGAAAAAGGAAAAAAACUUAGAUUGUGACUAGGACUUUCGAAAAGCUAUCCCUAAAGUUCCCUAGUUUAAAAAAAAACUUUUUUUGUUUUGUUUGUGUUUUUCCUCUCUGGUCUAAUUCUGUGCACCGACUGAGUGGAGGGCGCACCGACACACGCAAACGCACCACACCAGCCAUUGACUACGAUUUGGGGGUGACGUCACAAAAUUGUGGGAUGCCGCGGGUGGGUGAAGUCACGUGACACGCCCCCCAACUUUCCACCGUGUAUAUACGUUUAUGUGGGCGAUUUUAAUUUUCUCUCUACUCUUUUAAUUUUUAUUUUUAAUCCUUUUUUAGUCUUGAUUUCACUGUCUCUGUCAAGCAAUGUGGGUUGGCCUGCUGUGGUGAAAUACAAAUAAAGCUGCCUUGCUUUCCUACAGUGCGAUUGUCUUACUACGACUGCUACUGUAUUCAUACUCGUAAUAGAUUUUCCCCUGUUCAAAUAAAGUCAAACUCACUAAUUCAAGUGAAA
This is a long non-coding RNA of Hippocampus zosterae (dwarf seahorse), 1996 nucleotides long. RefSeq lists it as uncharacterized. NCBI's taxonomy places the organism in Eukaryota, Metazoa, Chordata, Actinopteri, Syngnathiformes, Syngnathidae. The transcript is spliced from 4 exons. The record is from RefSeq and is a predicted model, not a curated record.